Molecule: ribosomal RNA, 507 nt
Filed under: uncultured bacterium
Lineage: Bacteria
Description: bacterial SSU rRNA
Rfam family: Bacterial small subunit ribosomal RNA
Source: RNAcentral
AUGAACGCUAGCGACAGGCCUAACACAUGCAAGUCGAGGGGCAGUCGGGGUGUAGCAAUACGCUGCCGGCGACCGGCGGAUGGGUGAGUAACGCGUAUGCAACCUGCCUUCAGCAGGGGGAUAGCCCGUUGAAAGACGGAUUAAUACCCCGUAACACAGGGGCUCCGCAUGGAGAUUAUUGUUAAAGGGAUGCUUCCUUCGGGGAGUAUUCCGGCUGAAGAUGGGCAUGCGUUCCAUUAGGUAGUUGGUUGAGGUAACGGCUCACCAAGCCUGCGAUGGAUAGGGGAACUGAGAGGUUGGUCCCCCACACUGAUACUGAGACACGGACCAGACUCCUACGGGAGGCAGCAGUGAGGAAUCUUGGUCAAUGGACGGAAGUCUGAACCAGCCAUGUCGCGUGAAGGAGGACGGCCCUAAGGGUUGUAAACUUCUUUUGCAGGGGAAUAAAGUAUUCCACGAGAUGGGAUAUUGCAAGUACGCUGCGAAUAAGGAUCGGCUAACUCCGUG